CUUAUUACAAGAAUAAAUACAAAGGUCUGAUGUUACAAAGGUUCACAUCAGCACAGCGACACUACGCCUGCGAUACUACACUUGCUCUAUGCUAGCAGCGGAACAACUCGUAGCAGCGGAAAUUUGCUGGCAGCGGAACAACGACGAAGGUGGUGAACUCCACUCCGCAGGGACUCUGGCUGGGACACGAUCUAGCUCGCACGAACGGAAACCAUGACAAGAAAUCAAGCAAUCAUGGCAUCACUUGCAAUCUGGCAUGACACGCCAGGUCAGUACAUUGAAUGUACUUGCAAGCUCACAACAACCAAAAACAUCAAGGCAAGACAACAACAUAGCAUUAAGCAGGUUAAUUAAAUUAACAUCUACCAUGAUAUAACAGUAACUCCAAGCAUAAUAUGAAACUACUACCAUACUGAUAAAUCACCAUCUUUGAUCUCCAUAACCAUAUCUCUCUUGUCUAACUGGACAAACAAUAUACCAUCUCGAUCACCACAUGAUCAAACCAAACUGUAACCGUGAUCCUUACGGCGAUCACUAUGUCACAUCCUAGUUAGCCAUGCAUUAGAGUGUUGCAUCAUGUUUACUCUUUCAUCAGAAACUUGAAAUGGGGAUCUGUGAAACCCUCAGAAGCUUUUUGAAAAUGACCCAAAUAAAAAUUUCUCCAAAAAGGUCCAAGAAAAUGCUCAUGUUGCUCUCUGAAAAUAUUGGACAGAGAUAAAAAUCAAACCAAUAUUUUAAGAGCUCAUAGGUAUUUAUUUUGGGCAUUUGGAAUUAAUGCAUAAAUAUUUGCAUUGGAAAUAUAUUAGUUAUAUAUAUUAAUAUAUGUCCAAAUAUUAUGCCAACUAUAAAGGAGCUCUGGAAUAAUAUAUAUAGCUCCUGCAAAAAUUGGCAUAAGUUAAAUAAAUGAUUUAAUAUAUUAUUUAAAUCAAAACAAAUGUCAGAAAUUAGAAAACAGAAAAUAAUUAACAGGAGGAGCUUACCUGGGCUCCUCCACUGUGCGGCCCAGCCAGCUGGCUGGCCCAGCCAGCAGCCGGCCCAGCCCACCUCCCUCCUCUGUCGUCUUCGUCCCGACAGAGGGAGGGGAGUGUGGCCGGCGCGCGCGCGCGCCACCGCGCCACGCCACCUCUCUCCUUGCCUGCCUGCCCUCCCCUCCUCGCCUCGAUGCCCUGGACGACGCCACGCCUCUCCCCCUGCUCUCUCUCACUCUCCCCCGGCUCUCCCUCCUCCCCUCGCUCUCUCUCUCACACGGCCGAACACCCCCGUCGCCGCCGUUCGCCACAGCAGCCGUCUCCGGCCACCCCUCGCUUCCCCGACUAGCUCAGAAGCUCCGCCAUGACCCGCUCUUCCUCCCCACCGCUCCACGGUCCUCCAGAAGCCCUGCAUCGCCGCCACGUCGCCGUUCCCCUCCUCGGGCUCCGACCACCGUCGCCGUCGAUUCGCCGUCUCCAGCGCGUCCCCGAGCCCGCUUCGACGCCCACUGCAACCGCGGUGAGCUACGCCACCGUUUCCCCCUCUCCUCCCCCUCGUUCCCCCACCGUAGCCUCCUCCCCACCACGGCCGAACCUCCGCCGUCGCCGAGCUCGCCGUCGACGCAGCUCCGGUGACCAUUUGGUCACCCCGGCGAGUCCAACGAGUUCGCAAGACCCCGUAGAGCAUCCCUAGCGCCUCGCUUCGCUCGCCUUCGAGCUCCAACCCUGUUCCCGUGCACGACCGAACCCCGGCGGCCGCAGCCGAGCUCGCCGCCGUCGACUCCGGCCACCCCAGGCCCAGCCACGGCCACCGUUCGACGCGCGGGAGCAAGAGCUUUCCAACGAGCCCAAGCACGGCCUCUCCCGUGCCCUAUAGCGCGAUUCCGCACCGCGCCGCCGUCUCGGGCCUCGCCGGCGUUACGUCGCCGGUGGGUUUGACCCACUUUGACCAUGGCAGGACACCCCCUGAGUCCCUGACAGGUGGGCCCAGCCCUGUAGCUAAUUAGGAUUAGCGCUAACCACUGUUAGUUAACCCCCUGACACUGACUAGUGGGCCCCAGCGCCACUAAUUAGUAAUUAGGAUUAAAUUAACCCUGUUUAACCCCCCUGUCACUGACGUGUGGGCCCCACACGUCAGGUUUGACUUCAGCCAGCCGCAGUUGACCACUGACGUCAUGCUGACGUCAUGCUGGCGCAAUAAUUAUAAUUUCUGGAUUUAAUUUAAAUCAGGAAAUUCCAGAAUAUUAUUUAAACUUCAAAAAUUCAUAACUUUUAUUCUGUAACUCCAAAUUGGACAAAUUAUAUAUGAAAAAUGAUCAGAAAAAUCCAAUCUACCCAUCUGUACUAUUUUCAUGCAUGAUCAAAACAGUUAAAUUGAUGUUUCAAGCAGAACAAGGAAAAGCACUUUAAAAGGCCAUGUUUGAGUUUGAAAUUUGAAUCUAUGAUUCAAAUUUGUUCAAACCCUUCUGGUUUUAGUUGCAUUAGCCCAACACACUCAUAUUGCCAUGUUUCAUGCAUGCAUCAUAUUGUUGCACAUUGUUUGGUGAUGGUUGUGUAUCGGUGUCCUUUGCGACAGGUUCUGCCUCCGAGGAGUACCGUGAUUACCCUAACGAAGAACCGUAUCAGUGCAUCGAACCAUCAGGCAAGCAACCAACCAUUUGAUCAUAUCGAUACAAUCCCAUGUUCUCGCUCCUGCUCUCUUUUACUGCAUUAAGACAACGCGUUUCAAACUGCUGUGUGCUACGGUAGUUGAACCCAUUUCCUCUGCAUGACCUGUCAUUGCCACAGUAACUAGAUGAAACCCAGUAGCAUGUGUAGGAGUUGAUUGAGCCAUGUGUAUGUGUUGUUCCUACCUUGCUAUGCCUGCUAUGCUUAGAGUCGUGUCAGGUCUGGUUCAUCUGGGUGAUGGGCUAGAGUGAAAUGUUAAUGUCGGUAAUGAGAGUGGUGUGGUGAACACGAUUUGGUAAAGGUAUCGAUGAGAGGCCAUGUAGGAGUACAUGGUGGGUUGUUUCAUUGAAGCCGACCUUAAGCACUGAGAUCUGUAUAUGUGAUUUAAGAUACAGCUACUACCAUGCAUUGGGCCCUGAAAUAUGACCCCGCUCGACUUCUUAUUCACCCUAGCUCUCUGUCCAGGAGUUGCAAGUAGUUUCUGGUGUUUGUAGCCUACUGGAGGCCGUGGACAACGCUGACCGUAGGGGUGGGCUGUGAUGCGGUAGGUACGUGGCCGGGUGUACCGAAUACCCGUUAGGUAUCUCGGGAACCCUGUUCACAUCGUUCGGGGCCGUAUGGGAAACCUCGGCCGGACUCCCUACGGAUGGAACCUGAAUAGGCGAUAAACCUGGACUAGAGGCUUAAGUGUUUAGGUAGGUCGUGGUCUACACCCACGUCGGCUUUUGCUUGAAGUCUGCCGAGCACAUGUCGUGUGCAGACGCUAAGUGGUGGAAACAUGUAUGAAGAAGUACACCCCUGCAGGGUUAACAUGAUCUAUUCGAAUAGCCGCGUCCGCGGUAAAGGACUACUUGGUUGCCUAUACAGUUCAUAGACAAGUAAAUGGAAACUACUAAAAGCCUCAAGAUAAGUGUGAGUGCCGAGGAGGGCUCUUCCGUAGGAAGACGGAGGUGGAUCCUCGGUAGUGUAUUGAAGUGGUGAGUAGUGGACUCGUGUGCGCAAAACCAUUUCAAGUUGGAGUAUCGUAGGAUAGCCUAGCCAAGAGUCAAAGCUGGCUUGCUGCAAUAACUCCACCAACCCUUCUUGAUAAUAUGCAUGUAUGUAGGAUCUGAUGUAAGUCUUGCUGAGUACCUUUGUACUCAUGUUGCUAUAAUCUACAUUUUUACAGAAGACGCUGCAACCCCUUCUGAUGGGUUCUAUGUAGACGUUGACAUCAACGAGUAGGCUAAAGACCCAGGUGGUGACCCUGAGCUUGUGAAGGACCACGUAGUAUAGAAGGCUUUCCAAGCCUCUUUUAUUUUGCUAGUUGUCUAUACUCAGACAAGUUACUUCCGCUGUUGGUUUGUAUGACUGUAUGACUUGUAUGUCGGGUCGUGAGACCCGUACCUUUGUGUAUGUUAUGUAUGGCUCCCUGAGCCUUAAAUAAAGUACUUGUGUCAUAGAGUCAUGUUGUGAUGCUUCGUUGUAUUUGCACAUAUCGAGCAUAUUGUGUGUAUGAUUGAAAUGCUUGGUAUGUGUGGGAUCUGACUAUCUAGUUGUUUAUCUUUAGUAGCCUCUCUUACCGGGAAAUGUCUCCUAGUGUUACCGCUGAGCCAUGGUAGCUUGCUACUGCUCUGGAACACUUAGGCUGGCCGGCAUGUGUCCUUCUUCGUUCCCGUGUCUGUCCCUUCGGGGAAAUGUCACGCUUUGAGUACCGGAGUCCUGUUAGCCCGCUACAGCCUGGUUUACCGGAGUCCUGUUAGCCCAGUGCUACAGCCCGGACCCACUUGCUGAUGACCGACACGUUCGAAGCUGGGUCAUGGAUGCCUGUCCCUGUAAGUCUGUGCCACUUUGGGUUUACGACUAGUCAUGUCAGCCCGGGCUCCUUAUCAUAUGGAUGCUAGCGACACUAUCAUAUACGUGAGCCAAAAGGCGCAAACGGUCCCGGGAAAAGGUAAGACGAUACCCGUGGGGAUACCGUGCGUGAGGCCGCAAAGUGAUAUGAGGUGUUACCGGCUAGAUCGAUGUGACAUCGAGUCGGGGUCCUGACAGCGUUGGCAUCAGAGCCAGACUGCCUGUAGGUUCUCCAAGCCAAACUGGUCGAUGUUGAGUCUAGAAAUUCUUUAGUUAUAUGUAGGGGAAUUGUUUGUGGGUUGGAACGUAAGGCUCUUUUUACUCCUUAUACCUUAUGACUUUCUGAUCUGAGUCAGUCCAUUCUUCCACCGGGGUUAAGGAAUUAGGAUCUGUUCUCUCUAUCAGGAUCACGAGUUACUAAUCAGUAGUACCUUAUAAGUUUGAUGGUUACAAGCCUAGUUCAGUUCUACUACCACCUUAUGUUGUUAGAAUGGUUUCAGAACUUUGAUAUGAUGAUGUUGAGUAUGUACGAAAUCCUUUGUCAAAUGUCUCAAAAUCCUUUUUGAGCAUUUACAGCUGUUAUGCUGCCGAAAUUUUGCUAGAAGUUCUAAUGCCUUUGCAUUAUGAUUGUGCUUUCAGAUGGCCACUCGCGACCUCAAUCAAGUGGUUCGCCUGACUCGAUGCCUAGAUGUACCCGGCCAUACUGCUAAGUUGGUCAGGGUAAUGACUGAGGCUGGAUACCGCUGGUAUCCUGAGUACACGGUCGAAGAGCAAUUCCGGGACUUCAAUCAAAGCUAGUAUCUCUACACUGUCAGGAUAUUUCCAUCUUAUCCUGGAUCCACCGAGCCUCUUCACUGCUCCUAUGGACUCGGGGUUACUAUUGAGAUGGCUGUGCAGGACGCCGCCUACUCUAUGAUGACCAUUAUGCGAGUCAGAUCUGGUUUAUUUCGGGACUCUGAUUUCCGGUAUAUGCCAGGAUCACUUCCGGGAGCACAAGGGUAUCUCCAGGCUAUCUAUGCUGACCCCACUCAGGAGGAUUCACGGACUCGCACCACUGCUGAGAUGCUCGAGGAUAAGGACCGUGAAAAUCGGGCCUUGAGGUUAGAGCUCUUCAAUACCCGUGCUGACCACUGGGCCACUUUGACUCGGUUCGCACCGGCGGUGCAAGCUGGAUAUUCGGAUAUGCGCGAUCUCUAUCCUGUGAGAUCUGCUCUGCCGGACGUGAUGGUUUGGCGUGAUGUAGGAGGCAUCACCCCACCUCGCGGUCCCCGUAGGCCACCGUUUGUUGGUCCAAGGCCUCAUCCUAGCCCCUAUGGUCCACAAGCUCCGCGAGACCGUCUGUUUCCGGAUGAUCAUGUUGAGCUUCCAGGCUAUGGAGGUGACUUCUACGAGGACUACUACGGAUCGGUCUGAGUUAGCGGUAGUAUCACUAGUUCGCACUAGCUGUGUCGUCUAUCGUCCUGCGUGACUCGUGGGAUAUGACCUAGUUUGUACUCUUUCCGGAGGUGUAGAAAAAUAAUGUAUAGGAUCUUGGGAUGCCUCCGAUAAGAUGUAAUCCUCUUUCACCGUAAUAGUACUUUGUUUGGUCUUGUACUAAACCCUGUAUGGUGUGUAUGACGAUGGAAUAAAGAAGCAGUUUCUGUAUUUACCAUGUCAUACGGAUGAUCAUCUUGCAUUUCGAGUUAUACCUUACAUUUUAUAUCCUAUGUCGGAAUUUUAUCAUCCUGACUAAAUCAUUGUCUUGUUACCUAGGAUGGUCAACACGCGCGCUAACCCUGCUUCCCAAGAGCAGGCCGAAGGCAGUGAAGCCAGGGAUGCAAAUCUGCCUCAUCCUCCUUCACUAGCCGAGGUUAUGAUGGAAGCUGAGAGAAACAAGCGGGAGACCAACCGUUUGUUGGAGCGUAUUGAACAGAAUACAGCACACCAUCAGAGGGCUAACGUGGUGUCACUCAGUGAUUUUAUCAAAUUGCAUCCACCCACGUUCCACCACUCCGUCGAGCCUCUCGACGCUGAUGACUGGCUUCGCAGUAUCUCUCACAAACUGCGUUCCGCGCUGGUAGCGGAGGCUGACAAGGUCACCUUUGCUGCAUAUCAUCUUGAAGGCCCCGCCAGUCUAUGGUGGGAGAAUUAUGGAGCUAUGCGCCCAGCGGGCCAUGUCACUACUUGGGCUGAGUUCAGCGAGGCUUUCCGUGAACAUCACAUUCCGGAGGGUCUCAUGGACCGUAAACGUGAAGAAUUUUGUAGUUUCACCCAAGGUCGACUUUCUGUGGAUGCCUAUAGCAGGGAGUUUGGUAAUCUCGCCCGAUAUGCAACUGAGGAAGUUUCUACUGACGCCAAGAAGCAAGCAAGGUUCCGUAAGGGCCUUAGUCCCGAGCUUCGCUGCGAUCUCCGUCUGCAUGAGUGCACAUCUUUUCAGAAACUUGUCAACAAAGCCAUCAGUGCUGAAACUGGUCAGACUGACUAUGACGCAACCCGCAAGCAUGGCCGCGACAUGGGUUCCUCAUCCGGUGCUGGUCCUCAGAAGCGCCGCGUGUGGGUACCCAACACCGCCCUGCCACCCAGGUUCACACCGAGGCCAUCUUUCCAGGCGCCUCGCCCCGUUCAACAGUCUGCUCCAGCCAAGCCCUAUGGGGGUCCAAUCAAUAAUGCUCCUCCACGUACCAGUUCCGUGACCUGUUUCAAGUGUGGGGAAUCUGGUCACUAUAUGCGUGAGUGUCCCCAGACCAACCCCAAUCAAUCUGCUAAAGCUGUUGGCCGUGGCAAGCCGACAGGGAAAGUGUUCCACGCCAAGCCGGUCACCGCUACACGUGGCCAUGUCAACUGUAUCUCUGCCGAAGAAGCUCAAGAGGAUCCCAACGUCGUUCUCGGUACGCUUCUUGUUAAUUGCCACCCGGCAUCUGUUCUUUUCGAUACAGGAGCCUCUCAUUCAUUUAUAUCCGAGAACUAUGCUCGUUUGCAUAACGUUGCAUUCUGUGACAUGCCAUCCACUAUGGAAAUUUCUACUCCCGGGUCUAGAUGGCAGACCUCUAGGGUAAGUUUUGGAAAUGAAAUCCAAGUCGACAGACUUGUUUUCCUCGCGUCUUUGAUAGCCCUUAAAUCUUUAGAUAUUAAUAUCAUUUUGGGUAUGGACUGGAUGUCAGCUCAUCAAGCCAAAAUUGAUUGCUUCUCUAGGACUGUUCAACUCACCCAUCCUUCGGGGAAGAUAGUCAAUGUCUUGACCCGAAUAGCCAAGCGACAAUUAUAUUCGCUUAACGCCAGCCCUUUGCCAGACCUUGAGGACAUUCCGGUAGUCCGUGACUUCCCGGAUGUCUUUCCAGAGGAAUUGCCAGGUGUUCCACCUGACAGGGAUGUUGAGUUCGUAAUAGACCUCAUUCCAGGAACCGUUCCGAUUGCUAGAAGACCUUAUAAGAUGGCACCCCUAGAACUAGCCGAGCUUAAGAAACAACUUGAUGAGUCCUUGAAAAGGGGUUUCAUCCGACCUAGCUCAUCUCCGUGGGCUUGCCCCGUCCUAUUCGUUAAGAAGAAGGAUGGUACGGACCGGAUGGUUGUAGAUUACCGACCUGUCAAUUUGGUCACAAUCAAGAACAAAUAUCCACUUCCCAGGAUCAACGAUCUGUAUGAUCAGCUCGCUGGAUCCUCAGUCUUCUCCAAGAUGGAUUUGAGGUUGGGCUACCAUCAAAUCAAAAUCAGAAACGGGGACAUUCCUAAAACGGCCUUUGUUACUCGUUAUGGCCAAUACGAGUACACCGUCAUGUCCUUCGGUUUAACCAACGCUCCAGCCACCUUUUCUCGGUUAAUGAACUCAAUCUUCAUGGAGUAUUUGGAUAAAUUCGUCGUUGUUUACCUCGAUGAUAUACUCAUCUACUCCAAGAACGAGGAAGAACAUGCCGAACAUCUAAGGCUAGUGUUGAAGAAACUUUGAGAGCAUCGCCUUUAUGCCAAAUUUUCUAAAUGUGAAUUCUGGUUGUCAGAAGUGACCUAUCUGGGUCAUGUAAUAUCUGGUAAAGGUAUUGCUGUUAACCCUGAGCGAGUUCAAGCCGUCCUUAAUUGGACUCCACCUGAAUCGGUCAAGCAAGUUCGGAGUUUUCUGGGCUUAGCGAGUUAUUGUCGUCGCUUCGUCGAGAACUUCUCCAAAGUUGCUAAACCUCUAACCGAACUCCUCAAGAAAGAUAAGAAGUUCGAGUGGACUCCACAAUGUGAGCACAGUUUUCAGGAACUGAAAAGACGCCUGACCUCUGCUCCCGUACUGGUACCGCCAGACUUUUCCAAGGACUUUGUUAUCUACUGCGACGCCUCGCGACAAGGACUAGGUUGCAUUCUUAUGCAAGAUCGACAUGUAAUUGCUUACGCUUCACGGCAAUUGCACCCACAUGAGGAGAAUUAUCCUACUCAUGAUCUAGAGCUUGCAGCCGUAGUCUAUGCACUUAAGACCUGGCGACAUUACCUCCUCGGUAAUCGUUGCGAAAUAUUCACUGAUCACCAAAGUCUGAAGUACAUUUUCACCCAACCGGAUUUGAAUCUCAGGCAGAGACGUUGGGUUGAAUUGAUCACAGACUUCGACUUAGGAAUAACCUACACCCCAGGGAAAGCCAACGUCAUGGCUGAUGUGCUAAGUCGUAAAUCUUAUUGUAACAACCUGAUGUUACAACAAAGUCAACCGCUUCUCCAUGAGGAAUUUCGGAAGCUUAACCUUCACAUUGUUCCUCAAGGUUUUCUUUCCACCUUGGUAGCAAAACCUACUCUUACGGAUCAAAUCAUCGCUGCCCAAAAGCGAGAUAAGGGAAUAUCUAAAAUCAAAGAGAACAUUGCUAGCGGAGGUGCUAGUUGUUUCUCCACAAAUGAUCAUGGUGUUGUGUACUUUGAGAACCGUCUAGUGGUUCCCAAGAACCAGCAUCUACGGCAGUUGAUCCUUAAAGAAGCUCAUGAAUCUCCUCUCACUAUUCAUCCCGGUAGUACUAAGAUGUAUCAGGACCUACGCCAGAGGUUCUGGUGGACUAGGAUGAAGAGAGAAAUUGCUCAGUUUAUUGCUAAUUGCGACGUCUGUCGCCGUGUAAAAGCAGAGCACCAACGACCUGCUGGCACCCUUCAACCCUUAGCUAUUCCUGAAUGGAAAUGGGAUAAAAUUGGUAUGGAUUUCAUUACCGGUUUUCCCAGGACCAAGAGAGGGAAUAAUGCUAUUUUCGUCGUGGUCGAUCGUCUUUCCAAAGUAGCCCAUUUCUUACCUGUUCGUGAGAUUAUAACCGCUAGUCAGCUGGCAGAUUUGUACAUCUCCCGAAUAGUGUCUCUCCAUGGUGUUCCUUUGGAAAUUAACUCGGAUCGAGGAAGUCUUUUCACCUCUCGAUUUUGGGAAAGUUUCCAAAAUGCUAUGGGAACUCGUCUCUCCUUUAGCACCGCUUUCCACCCUCAGUCGAGUGGUCAAGUGGAACGCGUCAACCAGAUUCUAGAAGACAUGCUUCGAGCCUCUGUUAUCUCAUUCGGAAUGGACUGGGAGAAGUGCCUUCCAUUUGCCGAAUUCGCUUACAACAACAGCUAUCAAUCUAGCUUGGGUAAAGCCCCUUUUGAAGUUCUCUAUGGACGACGAUGUCGAACACCCCUUAACUGGUCAGAGACCGGGGAAAGACAAUUCUUUGGCCCGGAUAUGAUUCAGGAAGCAGAAGAACAAGUUCGUAUCGUUCGUGAAAAGUUGAAAACAGCCCAAUCUCGUCAAAAGAGUCAAUAUGACCGAAAACAUAAGGCUAUGACUUUCGAGGUUGACGAGAAGGCUUAUCUUCGGGUCACCCCUCUGAAGGGAACCAAUCGUUUCGGUAUCAAAGGCAAAUUGGCUCCUCGUUACAUUGGACCUUUUCGCAUUCUUGCCAAACGAGGAGAAGUUGCCUACCAGUUGGAACUACCUCCGCACCUCUCCAGAGUUCACAAUGUCUUCCAUGUUUCUCAACUCAGGCGUUGCUUCUCGGAUCCUAUCCGUGGAGUGGACCACGAAAUGCUUGAUCUCCAAGAUAAUCUUACAUAUCGAGAGUACCCCAUUCGUAUCCUCGAUCAAGCCGAACGUACCACGCGAUGUCAUAAUAUCAAGUUUCUCAAGGUUCAAUGGUCGCACCAUUCUGAGGAUGAAGCAACUUGGGAAAGGGAGGAUCGUCUUCGACUCGAGUAUCCCGCCUUCUUCCCGGAGGAACCCAAAUCUCGGGACGAGAUUCUUUUGAGUGGGGGUGAGUUGUCACAUCCUAGUUAGCCAUGCAUUAGAGUGUUGCAUCAUGUUUACUCUUUCAUCAGAAACUUGAAAUGGGGAUCUGUGAAACCCUCAGAAGCUUUUUGAAAAUGACCCAAAUAAAAAUUUCUCCAAAAAGGUCCAAGAAAAUGCUCAUGUUGCUCUCUGAAAAUAUUGGACAGAGAUAAAAAUCAAACCAAUAUUUUAAGAGCUCAUAGGUAUUUAUUUUGGGCAUUUGGAAUUAAUGCAUAAAUAUUUGCAUUGGAAAUAUAUUAGUUAUAUAUAUUAAUAUAUGUCCAAAUAUUAUGCCAACUAUAAAGGAGCUCUGGAAUAAUAUAUAUAGCUCCUGCAAAAAUUGGCAUAAGUUAAAUAAAUGAUUUAAUAUAUUAUUUAAAUCAAAACAAAUGUCAGAAAUUAGAAAACAGAAAAUAAUUAACAGGAGGAGCUUACCUGGGCUCCUCCACUGUGCGGCCCAGCCAGCUGGCUGGCCCAGCCAGCAGCCGGCCUAUCCCACCUCCCUCCUCUGUCGUCUUCGUCCCGACAGAGGGAGGGGAGUGUGGCCGGCGCGCGCGCGCGCCACCGCGCCACGCCACCUCUCUCCUUGCCUGCCUGCCCUCCCCUCCUCGCCUCGAUGCCCUGGACGACGCCACGCCUCUCCCCCUGCUCUCUCUCACUCUCCCCCGGCUCUCCCUCCUCCCCUCGCUCUCUCUCUCACACGGCCGAACACCCCCGUCGCCGCCGUUCGCCACAGCAGCCGUCUCCGGCCACCCCUCGCUUCCCCGACUAGCUCAGAAGCUCCGCCACGACCCCCUCUUCCUCCCCACCGCUCCACGGUCCUCCAGAAGCCCUGCAUCGCCGCCACCUCGCCGUUCCCCUCCUCGGGCUCCGACCACCGUCGCCGUCGAUUCGCCGUCUCCAGCGCGUCCCCGAGCCCGCUUCGACGCCCACUGCAACCGCGGUGAGCUACGCCACCGUUUCCCCCUCUCCUCCCCCUCGUUCCCCCACCGUAGCCUCCUCCCCACCACGGCCGAACCUCCGCCGUCGCCGAGCUCGCCGUCAACGCAGCUCCGGUGACCAUUUGGUCACCCCGGCGAGUCCAACGAGUUCGCAAGACCCCGUAGAGCAUCCCUAGCGCCUCGCUUCGCUCGCCUUCGAGCUCCAACCCUGUUCCCGUGCACGACCGAACCCCGGCGGCCGCAGCCGAGCUCGCCGCCGUCGACUCCGGCCACCCCAGGCCCAGCCACGGCCACCGUUCGACGCGCGGGAGCAAGAGCUUUCCAACGAGCCCAAGCACGGCCUCUCCCGUGCCCUAUAGCGCGAUUCCGCACCGCGCCGCCGUCUCGGGCCUCGCCGGCGUUACGUCGCCGGUGGGUUUGACCCACUUUGACCAUGGCAGGACACCCCCUGAGUCCCUGACAGGUGGGCCCAGCCCUGUAGCUAAUUAGGAUUAGCGCUAACCACUGUUAGUUAACCCCCUGACACUGACUAGUGGGCCCCAGCGCCACUAAUUAGUAAUUAGGAUUAAAUUAACCCUGUUUAACCCCCCUGUCACUGACGUGUGGGCCCCACACGUCAGGUUUGACUUCAGCCAGCCGCAGUUGACCACUGACGUCAUGCUGACGUCAUGCUGGCGCAAUAAUUAUAAUUUCUGGAUUUAAUUUAAAUCAGGAAAUUCCAGAAUAUUAUUUAAACUUCAAAAAUUCAUAACUUUUAUUCUGUAACUCCAAAUUGGACAAAUUAUAUAUGAAAAAUGAUCAGAAAAAUCCAAUCUACCCAUCUGUACUAUUUUCAUGCAUGAUCAAACAAGUUAAAUUGAUGUUUCAAGCAGAACAAGGAAAAGCACUUUAAAAGGCCAUGUUUGAGUUUGAAAUUUGAAUCUAUGAUUCAAAUUUGUUCAAACCCUUCUGGUUUUAGUUGCAUUAGCCCAACACACUCAUAUUGCCAUGUUUCAUGCAUGCAUCAUAUUGUUGCACAUUGGUUGGUGAUGGUUGUGUAUCGGUGUCCUUUGCGACAGGUUCUGCCUCCGAGGAGUACCGUGAUUACCCUAACGAAGAACCGUAUCAGUGCAUCGAACCAUCAGGCAAGCAACCAACCAUUUGAUCAUAUCGAUACAAUCCCAUGUUCUCGCUCCUGCUCUCUUUUACUGCAUUAAGACAACGCAUUUCAAACUGCUGUGUGCUACGGUAGUUGAACCCAUUUCCUCUGCAUGACCUGUCAUUGCCACAGUAACUAGAUGAAACCCACUAGCAUGUGUAGGAGUUGAUUGAGCCAUGUGUAUGUGUUGUUCCUACCUUGCUAUGCCUGCUAUGCUUAGAGUCGUGUCAGGUCUGGUUCAUCUGGGUGAUGGGCUAGAGUGAAAUGUUAAUGUCGGUAAUGAGAGUGGUGUGGUGAACACGAUUUGGUAAAGGUAUCGAUGAGAGGCCAUGUAGGAGUACAUGGUGGGUUGUUUCAUUGAAGCCGACCUUAAGCACUGAGAUCUGUAUAUGUGAUUUAAGAUACAGCUACUACCAUGCAUUGGGCCCUGAAAUAUGACCCCGCUCGACUUCUUAUUCACCCUAGCUCUCUGUCCAGGAGUUGCAAGUAGUUUCUGGUGUUUGUAGCCUACUGGAGGCCGUGGACAACGCUGACCGUAGGGGUGGGCUGUGAUGCGGUAGGUACGUGGCCGGGUGUACCGAAUACCCGUUAGGUAUCUCGGGAACCCUGUUCACAUCGUUCGGGGCCGUAUGGGAAACCUCGGCCGGACUCCCUACGGAUGGAACCUGAAUAGGCGAUAAACCUGGACUAGAGGCUUAAGUGUUUAGGUAGGUCGUGGUCUACACCCACGUCGGCUUUUGCUUGAAGUCUGCCGAGCACAUGUCGUGUGCAGACGCUAAGUGGUGGAAACAUGUAUGAAGAAGUACACCCCUGCAGGGUUAACAUGAUCUAUUCGAAUAGCCGCGUCCGCGGUAAAGGACUACUUGGUUGCCUAUACAGUUCAUAGACAAGUAAAUGGAAACUACUAAAAGCCUCAAGAUAAGUGUGAGUGCCGAGGAGGGCUCUUCCGUAGGAAGACGGAGGUGGAUCCUCGGUAGUGUAUUGAAGUGGUGAGUAGUGGACUCGUGUGCGCAAAACCAUUUCAAGUUGGAGUAUCGUAGGAUAGCCUAGCCAAGAGUCAAAGCUGGCUUGCUGCAAUAACUCCACCAACCCUUCUUGAUACUAUGCAUGUAUGUAGGAUCUGAUGUAAGUCUUGCUGAGUACCUUUGUACUCAUGUUGCUAUAAUCUACAUUUUACAGAAGACGCUGCAACCCCUUCUGAUGGGUUCUAUGUAGACGUUGACAUCAACGAGUAGGCUAAAGACCCAGGUGGUGACCCUGAGCUUGUGAUGGACCACGUAGUAUAGUUAGGCUUUCCAAGCCUCUUUUAUUUUACUAGUUGUCUGUACUCAGACAAUGUACUUCCGCUGCUGGUUUGUAUGACUGUAUGACUUGUAUGUUGGGUCGUGAGACCCGUACCUUGGUGUAUGUUAUGUAUGGCUCCCUGAGCCUUAAAUAAAGUACUUGUGUCAUAGAGUCAUGUUGUGAUGCUUCGUUGUAUUUGCACAUAUCGAGCAUAUUGUGUGUAUGAUUGAAAUGCUUGGUAUGUGUGGGAUCUGACUAUCUAGUUGUUUAUCUUUAGUAGCCUCUCUUACCGGGAAAUGUCUCCUAGUGUUACCGCUGAGCCAUGGUAGCUUGCUACUGCUCUGGAACACUUAGGCUGGCCGGCAUGUGUCCUUCUUCGUUCCUGUGUCUGUCCCUUCGGGGAAAUGUCACGCUUUGAGUACCGGAGUCCUGUUAGCCCGCUACAGCCCGGUUUACCGGAGUCCUGCUAGCCCAGUGUUACAGCCCGGACCCAUUUGCUGAUGACCGACACGUUCGGAGCUGGGUCAUGGAUGCCUGUCCCUGUAAGUCUGUGCCACUUUGGGUUUACGACUAGUCAUGUCAGCCCGGGCUCCUUAUCAUAUGGAUGCUAGCGACACUAUCAUAUCCUCGAUCAGGCCGAACGUACCACCCGACGUCAUAAUAUCAAGUUUCUCAAAGUUCAAUGGUCGCACCAUUCUGAGGAUGAAGCAACUUGGGAAAGGGAGGAUCGUCUUCGACUCGAGUAUCCCGCCUUCUUCCCGGAGGAACCCAAAUCUCGGGACGAGAGUCUUUUGAGUGGGGGUGAGUUGUCACACCCUAGCUAGUCAUGCAUCAGAGUGUGUGCAUCAUGUUUAAAUUUCCAUUUAAUUUGAAAUGGGGAUCUGUGAAACCCUCAGAAUCAUUUUGAAAAUGAUCCAAAUAAAAAUUUCUCCAAAAAGGUCCAAGAAAAUGCUCAUGUUGCUCUCUGAAAAUAUUGGACAGAGAUAAAAAUCAAACCAAUAUUUUUAAGAGCUCAUAGGUAUUUAUUUUGGGCAUUUGGAAUUAAUGCAUAAUUAUUUGCAUUGGAAAAAUAUUAUUUAUAUAUAUUAAUAUAUGUCCAAAUAUUAUGCCAUUUAUAAAGGAGCUCUAGAAUAAUAUAUCUAGCUCCUGCAAAAAUUGGCAUAAGUUAAAUAAAUGAUUUAAUAUAUUAUUUAAAUCAAAACAAAUGUCAGAAAUUAGAAAAAACAGAAAUAAAUAACAGGAGGAGCUUACCUGGGCUCCUCCACUGUGCGGCCCAGCCAGCAGCCGGCCCAGCCCACCUCCCUUCUCUGUCGUCUUCGUCCCGACAGAGGGAGGGGAGUGUGGCCGGCGCGCGCGCGUGCCACCGCGCCACGCCACCUCCCUCGCUGCCUUCCUGCCCUCCCCUCCUCGCCUCGAUGCCCCUGGACGACGCCACGCCUCCCCCCUGCUCUCUCUCACUCUCCCGCAGUUCUUCCCUCCUCUCCCUCGCUCUCUCUCUCACACGGCCGAACACCACCCUCGCCGCCGUUCGCCACAGCAGCCGUCUCCGGCCACCCCUCGCUCCCCCGACUAGCUCAGAAGCUCCGCCACGACCCCCUCUUCCCUCUCCACCGACCCACAGCUCCCCGGAAGCCCUGCAUCGCCGCCACGUCGCCGUUCCCCUCUUCGGGCUCCGACCAUCGUCGCCGUCGAAUUCGUCGUCUCCAGCGCGUUCCCGAGCCCGCUAACCAUCCCUGCAGCUCCGCGGUGAGCCCCCGGAUCGUUUCCCCCUUCUCCCCUGGUCUCUUCCGACCUCUAGGCCGUAGCCCCACCUUGGCCGAGAGCUCCACGCCGCCGGCGAUGUCGCCGUCGUGGCCACGGUCACCGUAGCACCCAACCGAGCACACUAUCGUGCUCCACACCUCACUAGGAGUACGCAGCACGCGCUAACGCCUCCCCAAACCCCCUGCAACACCGAUCCCGACCGCACCCGAACUCCGGCGGCCGCAGCCGAGCUCGCCGCCGUCGACUCCGGCCACCCCAGGCCCAUCCACGGCCACCGUUCGACGCGCGGGAGCAAGAGCUUUCCAACGAGCCCAAGCACGGCCUCGCCCGUGCCCUGUAGCGCGAUCCCGCGUCGCGCCGCCGUCUCGGACCUCGCCGGCGUCACGUCGCCGGUGGGUUUGACCCACUUUGACCACGGCAGGACACCCCCUGAGUCCCUGACAGGUGGGCCCAGCCCUGUAGCUAAUUAGGAUUAGUGCUAACCACUGUUAGUUAACCCCCUGACACUGACCAGUGGGCCCCAGCGCCACUAAUCCCUAAUUAGGAUUAAUUUAAACCUGUUUAACCCCCUGUCACUGACGUGUGGACCCCACACGUCAGGUUUGACUCCAGCCAGCCGCAGUUGACCACUGACGUCAUGUUGACGUCAUGCUGGCGCAGUAAUUAUAAUUUCUGGAUUUAAAUUUAAUCAGGAAAUUCCAGAAUAUUAUUUAAACUUCAAAAAUUCAUAACUUUUAUUCUGUAACUCCAAAUUAGACAAAUUAUAUAUGAAAAAUGAUCAGAAAAAUCCAAUCUAUCCAUCUGUACUAUUUUCAUGCAUGAUCAAACAAGUUAAAUUGAUGUUUUAAGCAGAACAAGGAAAAGCACUUUAAAAGGCCAUGUUUGAGUUUGAAAUUUGAAUCUUUGAUUCAAAUUUGUUCAAACCCUUCUGGUUUUAGUUGCAUUAGCCCAACACACUCAUAUUGCCAUGUUUCAUGCAUGCAUCAUAUUGUCGCAUAUUGUUUGGUGAUGUUUGUGCAUCGCUGUCCUUUACGACAGGUUCUGCCUCCGAGGAGUACCGUGAUUACCCUAACGAAGAACCGUAUCAGUGCAUCGAACCAUCAGGCAAGCAACCAACCAUUUGAUCAUAUCGAUACAAUCCCAUGUUCUCGCUCCUGCUCUCUUUUACUGCAUUAAGACAACGCGUUUCAAACUGCUGUGUGCUACGGUAGUUGAACCCAUUUCCUCUGCAUGACCUGUCAUUGCCACAGUAACUAGAUGAAACCCACUAGCAUGUGUAGGAUUUGAUUGAGCCAUGUGUAUGUGUUGUUCCUACCUUGCUAUGCCUGCUAUGCUUAGAGUCGUGUCAGGUGUGGUUCAUCUGGGUGAUGGGCUAGAGUGAAAUGUUUAUGUCGGUAAUGAGAGUGGUGUGGUGAACACGAUUUGGUAAAGGUAUCGAUGAGAGGCCAUGUAGGAGUACAUGGUGGGUUGUUUCAUUGAAGCCGACCUUAAGCACUGAGAUCUGUAUAUGUGAUUUAAGAUACAGCUACUACCAUGCAUUGGGCCCUGAAAUAUGACCCCGCUCGACUUCUUAUUCACCCUAGCUCUCUGUCCAGGAGUUGCAAGUAGUUUCUGGUGUUUGUAGCCUACUGGAGGCCGUGGACAGCGCUGACCGUAGGGGUGGGCUGUGAUGCGGUAGGUACGUGGCCGGGUGUACCGAAUACCCGUUAGGUAUCUCGGGAACCCUGUUCACAUCGUUCGGGGUUGUAUGGGAAACCUCGGCCGGACUCCCUGCGGAUGGAACCUGAAUAGGCGAUAAACCUGGACUAGAGGCUUAAGUGUUUAGGUAGGUCGUGGUCUACACCCACGUCGGCUUUCGCUUGAAGUCUGCCGAGCACAUGUCGUGUGCAGACGCUAAGUGGUGGAAACAUGUAUGAAGAAGUACACCCCUGCAGGGUUAACAUGAUCUAUUCGAAUAGCCGCGUCCGCGGUAAAGGACUACUUGGUUGCCUAUACAGUUCAUAGACAAGUAAAUGGAAACUACUAAAAGCCUCAAGAUAAGUGUGAGUGCCGAGGAGGGCUCUUCCGUAGGAAGACGGAGGUGGAUCCUCGGUAGUGUAUUGAAGUGGUGAGUAGUGGACUCGUGUGCGCAAAACCAUUUCAAGUUGGAGUAUCGUAGGAUAGCCUAGCCAAGAGUCAAAGCUGGCUUGCUGCAAUAACUCCACCAACCCUUCUUGAUAAUAUGCAUGUAUGUAGGAUCUGAUGUAAGUCUUGCUGAGUACCUUUGUACUCAUGUUGCUAUAAUCUACAUUUUUAUAGAAGACGCUGCAACCCCUUCUGAUGGGUUCUAUGUAGACGUUGACAUCAACGAGUAGGCUAAAGACCCAGGUGGUGACCCUGAGCUUGUGAAGGACCACGUAGUAUAGAAGGCUUUCCAAGCCUCUUUUAUUUUGCUAGUUGUCUGUACUCAGACAAGUUACUUCCGCUGUUGGUUUGUAUGACUGUAUGACUUGUAUGUCGGGUCGUGAGACCCGUACCUUUGUGUAUGUUAUGUAUGGCUCCCUGAGCCUUAAAUAAAGUACUUGUGUCAUAGAGUCAUGUUGUGAUGCUUCGUUGUAUUUGCACAUAUCGAGCAUAUUGUGUGUAUGAUUGAAAUGCUUGGUAUGUGUGGGAUCUGACUAUCUAGUUGUUUAUCUUUAGUGGCCUCUCUUACCGGGAAAUGUCUCCUAGUGUUACCGCUGAGCCAUGGUAGCUUGCUACUGCUCUGGAACACUUAGGCUGGCCGGCAUGUGUCCUUCUUCGUUCCCGUGUCUGUCCCUUCGGGGAAAUGUCACGCUUUGAGUACCGGAGUCCUGUUAGCCCGCUACAGCCCGGUUUACCGGAGUCCUGUUAGCCUAGUGCUACAGCCCGGACCCACUUGCUGAUGACCGACACGUUCGAAGCUGGGUCAUGGAUGCCUGUCCCUGUAAGUCUGUGCCACUUUGGGUUUACGACUACUCAUGUCAGCCCGGGCUCCUUAUCAUAUGGAUGCUAGCGACACUAUCAUAUACGUGAGCCAAAAGGCGCAAACGGUCCCGGGAAAAGGUAAGACGAUACCCGUGGGGAUACCGUGCGUGAGGCCGCAAAGUGAUAUGAGGUGUUACCGGCUAGAUCGAUGUGACAUCGAGUCGGGGUCCUGACACACUACCAAACUGUAAUCGUGAUCCUUACGACGAUCACUACCAAACUGUAACCGUGAUCCUUACGGCGAUCACAACCCGACCAAUAAAUGGCCCGUGAUCCUUACGGCGAUCACAACCCGACCAAUAAAUGGCCCGUGAUCCUUACGGCGAUCACAACCCGACCAAUACUUGGCCAAUCUGUACUACUCCAAAUUUCCAUCAACUAUACGUCAUUCCGUCAGGUGGGUGUUGAUCGAAUGGUGUACCCUAGUACGAACCCAUGCCCAUGACCGAGGAUGCGGCUAUCGAUAGAUUAAACACACACUCUGCAGAGGUAGCGCAUUGUACCCACACCACAGAACCCAUGGCCUCACCCUCCCAUCCGGGUGGACCAACGGCGUUCCGACAAAACCGAUCUACUGCCAUGACACUCUCCCGGCCACUCCGACUCACUCCCCACUGGGCUAAGUCAUGGGUGGCCCCGUGUCUACCUCCAGACACAAUGACCACCGUCGUGGUCCGUCCCACAUGGGGACAUGGAUCCAAAAACUAACUCAACAACGGACACACAAGGUUAUGCUCCGCCUACCUGAUCAGGGUAGCACGCGCCCAUAACCUUCCCUCAUUGGAGGCACCGGAGAGGCACAACAAUAGACCGCAUUAGGGCCGUCCCAUAACAGCAAAUGUGGUUGCACUGGAAAAGUUCGAUUCGGCGGCACCUGACCAACUUACUGAUGGAAUUUAUCCACAAAACUAUAACCAUGAUAACUGAUACUCCAAUGUCAACCAUCAAACUAUAAUCCAAGCCGUAGCAAUAUCCAACAAAUAACCCAAACAUAAUAUCCUCAUGCCAAAAUACUCCAAGGAUAGCAUAAUACUACUGUCAUGAUGAACAAUAACACUACUACUUCAACUAAGAUCCACAUGUAACCAUCAUCUCCGAAAAUAAUACUCCAAGCAACAGAACAUCAACUAGCAUCAUGAAAAUAAUCAUACCAACCACUACUAAUCCAAAGGUAGCAUGAUAUCCAAAGUAAUACUCCAAAACAUACUAAUAGAUAUCAUCAUGAAACACUCACAAUAUCAGCCACUAAUAUUCCAAUGGCAACAUGAUACUCAUCUACUACAAACAUAACUCCUAGUAAUCCAAACCAUAGCAUGGCAAUAACAAGAUCAAAUCAAUACUCCGAGAAAAUGCCAUGCACAAAGUCAUGUUGCUAAAGCAAUAUUUUAAACAAGUUCAAAAUGAAUUAAACCAUGUCACUGCAUUGCAAUCAUGCAAAUGGAGGGUGUGGCUUGCCUGGGGUGGAAGAAAUCAUCGGAAGAAAGUGCGAGAAGCUCGCGGAAAGAAUCGCCAGAAAUCGUUCUCUCUCGGAGGGGGGCUGAUUAAGGGCAGGGGCAAAAUGGUCAUUUUCAGUAUGCCAAAACAUAAUGCAAGUGACACCAACAGAAAGGGCUCGACGAAACGAAGAAGUGAGCGUUGGUUCACCUUAAACGGAGUUACGGUUGAAAAGUUAUGAAGGGUUGAAUCUCAGGGACUUUUCUGCAAAAAUUUCUUUAGCAAACAGGUCCUUGAGUGGAUAAGGCAGA
Molecule: long non-coding RNA, 20546 nt
Filed under: Triticum aestivum (bread wheat)
Lineage: Eukaryota; Viridiplantae; Streptophyta; Magnoliopsida; Poales; Poaceae
Description: long non-coding RNA (TAES_LNC011868)
Source: RNAcentral